This 450-nucleotide ribosomal RNA is filed under the name uncultured Glomus. Its description in RNAcentral is "SSU rRNA". It matches the Rfam family "Eukaryotic small subunit ribosomal RNA", at positions 569 to 1022 of the family's 1831-position model. The record is from RNAcentral. Lineage: Eukaryota; Fungi; Glomeromycota; Glomeromycetes; Glomerales; Glomeraceae.
AGCAGCCGCGGUAAUUCCAGCUCCAAUAGCGUAUAUUAAAGUUGUUGCAGUUAAAAAGCUCGUAGUUGAAUUUCGAGAUCAAAUUGUUGGUCGUGCCUUGGUACGUACUGGCAUUAUUGGUUUCUCCCUUCUGAAGAACCAUGAUGUCAUUAAUUUGGUGUCUUGGGGAAUCAGGACUGUUACUUUGAAAAAUUAGAGUGUUUAAAGCAGGCUCACGCUUGAAUACAUUAGCAUGGAAUAACGAAAUAGGACGUUUGAUUCUAUUUUGUUGGUUUCUAGGAUCGACGUAAUGAUUAAUAGGGAUAGUUGGGGGCAUUAGUAUUCAAUUGUCAGAGGUGAAAAUUCUUGGAUUUUAUUGAAGACUAACUACUGCGAAAAGCAUUUGCCAAGGAUGUUUUCAUUAAUCAAGAACGAAAGUUAGGGGAUCGAAGACGAUCAGAUACCGUCGUA